AGAGAUGUGUGAUGACGCAUAUCAAUAAGCGGAGGAAAAGAAACUAACAAGGAUUCCCUUAGUAACGGCGAGUGAAGCGGGAAGAGCUCAAAUUUGAAAUCUUCAAGGUUCUACCUUGACGAAUUGUAGUUUAUAGAAGUGUUUUCUGUUAGUGGAGUGGCAAAAGUUCUUUGGAAUAGGACAUCAUAGAGGGUGAGAAUCCCGUAUUUGGUCAUUCCUCCUAGCGUUGUGAUACACUUUCAACGAGUCGGAUUGUUUGGGAAUGCAGUCCAAAAUGGGUGGUAAAUUUCAUCUAAAGCUAAAUAUUGGCGAGAGACCGAUAGCGAACAAGUACCGUGAGGGAAAGAUGAAAAGAACUUUGAAAAGAGAGUUAAACAGUACGUGAAAUUGUCAAAAGGGAAGCGUUUGACACCAGUGUUGUUUUUCCGAAAAUCAAUUAUGAAUGGCUUGAUUUUAAGUUUCAUGACCUUAAAAGCUUGUUUCUUAUUUUUCAUGUCUUUCGUAAUGCACUUUUCGGUUAACAAGUCAACAUCAAUUUCUUUUGUUGUAAAAGGGUAUGAGGAAGGUGGCUUUCUUUUCGGAGAAAGUGUUUAUAGCCUUGUACCUCUGCAAUCGGAGAGAUUGAGGUCUGCAGCGUAGAUCCUUCGGGGUUAGAUACAUUUGUGCUAAGUUAUAGCUUUUCAUAGACAACUUGUUGACUAUGUUAAGUCUUGUAGCUUACUCGCUUAUGCUAUUUUACCUACGCUUAGGAUGUUGAAGAUGUAGCACAUCAU
This 773-nucleotide ribosomal RNA is filed under the name uncultured Neocallimastigales. Its description in RNAcentral is "partial large subunit ribosomal RNA". It matches the Rfam family "Eukaryotic large subunit ribosomal RNA", at positions 23 to 635 of the family's 3401-position model. Lineage: Eukaryota; Fungi; Neocallimastigomycota; Neocallimastigomycetes; Neocallimastigales. The record is from RNAcentral.